AUACCGGCGGCUCGAGUGGUGGCCACUUUUAUUGGGCUUAAAGCGUCCGUAGCUGGAUUUUUAAGUCUCUUGGGAAAUCCGCCGGCUUAACCGGCGGGCGUCUAAGAGAUACUGGGAAUCUAGGGACCGGGAGAGGUGAGAGGUACUCCGGGGGUAGGAGUGAAAUCCUGUAAUCCCCGGGGGACCACCUAUGGCGAAGGCAUCUCACCAGAACGGCUCCGACAGUGAGGGACGAAAGCUGGGGGAGCGAACCGGAUUAGAUACCCGGGUAGUCCCAGCCGUAAACUAUGCGCGUUAGGUGUACUGGUGACCACGAGUCACCGGGGUGCCGAAGGGAAACCGUGAAACGUGCCGCCUGGGAAGUACGGUCGCAAGGCUGAA
Molecule: ribosomal RNA, 381 nt
Filed under: uncultured bacterium
Lineage: Bacteria
Also listed under: 1 other name
Description: bacterial SSU rRNA
Rfam family: Archaeal small subunit ribosomal RNA
Source: RNAcentral